CUCCUCUCAGGAUCACACCUGGAGAGUUUCCAGUACUCUACAAGUCUUGGCCAAGAGAGGGAGAGUUGAGCAGAGGCCUACCCAUUUCAUUCCUAGCUUGUCCAGUGGCUAGCAAGUGGAAGGCAAUCUGCUACAAGU
Molecule: non-coding RNA, 138 nt
Organism: Ornithorhynchus anatinus (platypus)
Lineage: Eukaryota; Metazoa; Chordata; Mammalia; Monotremata; Ornithorhynchidae
Source: Rfam